Schistosoma mansoni is the source of this 45-nucleotide non-coding RNA. Lineage: Eukaryota; Metazoa; Platyhelminthes; Trematoda; Strigeidida; Schistosomatidae. The record is from Rfam.
AUCCAGCUGAGGAGUCCUAAACAGGAUGAAACGAGAGUCUUGGAU